AGAUUGAACGCUAGCGGGAUGCUUUACACAUGCAAGUCGAACGGCAGCGCGGACUUCGGUCUGGCGGCGAGUGGCGAACGGGUGAGUAACAUAUCGGAACGUGCCCAGUAGCGGGGGAUAACUACGCGAAAGCGUGGCUAAUACCGCAUACGCCCGUACGGGGGAAAGGGGGGAUUCUUCGGAACCUCUCACUAUUGGAGCGGCCGAUAUCAGAUUAGCUAGUUGGUGAGGUAAAGGCUCACCAAGGCGACGAUCUGUAGCUGGUUUGAGAGGACGACCAGCCACACUGGGACUGAGACACGGCCCAGACUCCUACGGGAGGCAGCAGGUGGGAAUUUUGGACAAGUGGGGGAAACCUGACUCCAGCCAUCCCGCGU
RNAcentral lists this ribosomal RNA (377 nucleotides) under uncultured soil bacterium. RNAcentral describes it as "bacterial SSU rRNA". It matches the Rfam family "Bacterial small subunit ribosomal RNA", at positions 26 to 402 of the family's 1533-position model. The record is from RNAcentral.